RNAcentral lists this ribosomal RNA (640 nucleotides) under uncultured archaeon. RNAcentral's name for it is "bacterial SSU rRNA". It matches the Rfam family "Archaeal small subunit ribosomal RNA", at positions 219 to 859 of the family's 1478-position model. The record is from RNAcentral.
GGCCGAUUAGGUAGUUGGUUAGGUAAUGGCUUACCAAGCCGUUGAUCGGUACGGGUUGUGAGAGCAAGAGCCCGGAGAUGGAACCUGAGACAAGGUUCCAGGCCCUACGGGGUGCAGCAGGCGCGAAACCUCCGCAAUGUGAGGAAUCGCGACGGGGGGAUCCCAAGUGCCAUUCUUAACGGGAUGGCUUUUCAUUAGUGUAAAGAGCUUUUGGAAUAAGAGCUGGGCAAGACCGGUGCCAGCCGCCGCGGUAACACCGGCAGCUCUAGUGGUAACAAUUUUUAUUGGGCCUAAAGCGUCCGUAGCCGGUUUAAUAAGUCUCUGGUGAAAUCCUGUAGCUUAACUGUGGGAAUUGCUGGAGAUACUAUUAGACUUGAGACCGGGAGAGGUUAGAGGUACUCCCAGGGUAGAGGUGAAAUUCUGUAAUCCUGGGAGGACCGCCUGUUGCGAAGGCGUCUAACUGGAACGGUUCUGACGGUGAGGGACGAAAGUUAGGGGCGCGAACCGGAUUAGAUACCCGGGUAGUCCUAACUGUAAACGAUGCGGACUUGGUGUUGGGGUGGCUUUGAGCUGCUCCAGUGCCGAAGGGAAGCUGUUAAGUCCGCCGCCUGGGAAGUACGGUCGCAAGACUGAAACUUAA